This 705-nucleotide ribosomal RNA is filed under the name Alexandrium fundyense. RNAcentral's name for it is "LSU rRNA". It matches the Rfam family "Eukaryotic large subunit ribosomal RNA", at positions 23 to 671 of the family's 3401-position model. The record is from RNAcentral. Lineage: Eukaryota; Dinophyceae; Gonyaulacales; Pyrocystaceae.
ACCCGCUGAAUUUAAGCAUAUAAGUAAGUGGUGGAAAUUAAACCAAAUGGGAUAUCUUUAGUAAUUGCGAAUGAACAAGGAUAUGCUUAGCUUGACAAAUGGAGCUAUUGGCUUUGAAUUGUAUUUGUGGAAUGUAUUACCAACAGAGGUGCAGGUGCCAGCMUAUUAAAUARAGCGUCAAUGAGGGUGAGAAUCCUGUUUGUCAUGUGCAGCCCUUUGUGCACGGUGUAUAUUUGCUGAGUCACACUCCUUGGCAUUGGAAUGCAAAGUGGGUGGUAAGUUUCAUGUMAAGGUAAACAUGCAAYUGAGACUGAUAGCACACAAGURCCAUGAGGGAAAUAUGAAAAGGACUUUGAAAAGAGAAUUAAAUGAGUUUGUAUUUGCUGAACACAAAGUAAACAGACUUGAUUUGCUUGGUGGGAGUGUUGCACUUGCUUGACAAGAGCUUUGGGCUGUGGGUGUAAUGAUUCUUUCUUUGCAUGCCAGUUUCUAUUUGUACAUCUGAUUACCUUUGCACAUGAAUGAUAAGUCUCCUGUGGGGGGUGGAUUGCAUGUGCAUGUAAUGAUUUGUGUUUUGAUAAAUGUGUCUGGUGUAUGUGUGUGUUCCUGUGCUUGGGGAUGCUUCCUUCCUUGGACUUACAAGCCCUGACACACACAUGCUGGCAAAAUGCUUCUGCUUGACCCGUCUUGAAACACGGUCCAAGG